This 230-nucleotide unclassified non-coding RNA is filed under the name Hevea brasiliensis (rubber tree). Lineage: Eukaryota; Viridiplantae; Streptophyta; Magnoliopsida; Malpighiales; Euphorbiaceae. The record is from RNAcentral.
CACCCUACACAGGGAAAUGGGCAAUUGAACUUUUCUGUUACUUUUGCUUAUUUUGGUUCUCCAGAUCAAUACCCAGAUCUUGUUACCUUUUCAUCGAACUAAAUUAUUCUCAUCUUUGAAGGAGAGAGAGACAGUGAUAGAGUGACAACAAUAUGGGUCGGAUUAUCUCGGUGGUGGAAAACUAGUUCUGGCUUGAAAUUGUUUUGCUGUUUUCUCUUCAUUUUGCCUCC